AUGUCAGCUCUUCAGGGUGUCACUGUCCCGGCCGUACUGCGUGAAGGAGACUCCGUUUUAUUUGUGUCCUUGGCCAUCUGGACCCGCUUCUUUCCUGCCUCCGAGGCUCUGAGGUCUGUUUUGGCCCAGGGAACUCUAGGAGACCUCCGGGUGGCUCGGGCAGAAUUUGGGAAGAACCUCACCCAUGUUCCCCGGGCUGUAGACUGGGCCCAGGCCGGGGGUGCCCUGCUGGACUUGGGCAUCUACUGUGUCCAGUUCAUCUCCAUGGUCUUUGGAGGGCAGAAGCCAGAGAAGAUUUCCGUCAUGGGAAGGCGUCAUGAGACAGGUGUGGACGACACAGUCACGGUGCUCCUGCAGUACCCAGGAGAGGUCCAUGGCAGCUUCACUUGCAGCAUCACCGCGCAGCUCUCCAACACAGCCUCCGUGAGCGGCACCAAGGGCAUGGCACAGGUGAGGCGCAGCGGGCCCAAGCGCUAGGGAUUGUACCCCUAAAAUAGAAGGGGGACAAAUGGCCCUUGGAGCUGGAUGAGGGUUUAACCAGCCAAUUUCACAUCAUUACUAAAGAGUUCAUCCUCCUUAACCAAGCCAAGAGGUGGGUUCUGGGCCUCUAGGCUCUCCUUACUUAGGAUUAACCUAUUGCUCUGUCAAAUAUCCUUGGACCUGGCCGGCACGGUGGUUCACGCCUGUAAUCCCAACACUUUGGGAGGCCAAGGCAGGCGGAUCACCUGGGUCAGGAGUUCAAGACCAGCCUGGACAAUAUGGUUAAAAUCCAUCUCUACUAAAAAUACAAAAAUAGCCAGGUGUGGUGGCCUGUAAUCCCAGCUACUCAGGAGAAUCAUUUGAACCUGGGAGGUGGAGGUUGCAGUGAGCCGAGAUCGUGCCGCUGCACUCCAGCCUGGGCGACAGGGCAAGACUCCAUCUCAAAAAAAUCAAUAGGCCCGGCACGGUGGUUCACGCCUGUAAUCCCAACACUUUGGGAGGCCAAGGCAGGCGGAUCACCUGGGUCAGGAGUUCAAGACCAGCCUGGACAAUAUGGUUAAAAUCCAUCUCUACUAAAAAUACAAAAAUUAGCUGGUUGUGGUGGCAAGCGUCUGUAAUCCCAGCUACUCGGGAGGCUGAGGCAGUAGAAUUGCUUGAACCCGGAAGGUGGAGGUUGCAGUGAGCUGAGAUAGUGUCAUUGCACUCCAGCCUGGGUGACAAGAGCAAAACUGCAUCUCAAAAAUUUUAUAUAUAUAUACCUGGCCGCCAUGGUGGUCACACCUGUAAUCCCAGCACUUUGGGAGGCUGAAGCUGGUGGAUCACUUGAGCCCUGGAGGUUGA
This 1320-nucleotide long non-coding RNA is filed under the name Macaca nemestrina (pig-tailed macaque). RNAcentral's name for it is "lncRNA (ENSMNEG00000045747.1)". Lineage: Eukaryota; Metazoa; Chordata; Mammalia; Primates; Cercopithecidae. The record is from RNAcentral.